Molecule: ribosomal RNA, 582 nt
Filed under: uncultured bacterium
Lineage: Bacteria
Description: bacterial SSU rRNA
Rfam family: Bacterial small subunit ribosomal RNA
Source: RNAcentral
CCUACGGGAGGCAGCAGUAGGGAAUAUUGGGCAAUGGAGGCAACUCUGACCCAGCCAUGCCGCGUGCAGGAAGACGGUCCUCUGGAUUGUAAACUGCUUUUGAAUGGGAAGAAUGUGCUCCUUGCGAGGGGUAAUGACGGUACCAUUAGAAUAAGCCACGGCUAACUACGUGCCAGCAGCCGCGGUAAUACGUAGGUGGCGAGCGUUAUCCGGAUUUAUUGGGUUUAAAGGGUGCGUAGGCGGCUUAAUAAGUCGGUGGUUAAAAGUAGCAGCUUAACUGUUUUACAUGCCAUCGAUACUGUUGAGCUUGAGAUAUUUGGAGGCAGCUAGAAUUUCCGGUGUAGCGGUGAAAUGCAUAGAUACCGGAAGGAAUACCAAUUGCGAAGGCAGGUUGCUACGAAUAAACUGACGCUGAUGCACGAAAGCGUGGGGAUCAAACAGGAUUAGAUACCCUGGUAGUCCACGCCGUAAACGAUGAUUACUAGUUGUUGGGGUUUUAAGCCGUUCAGUGACCAAGGGAAACCGAUAAGUAAUCCACCUGGGGAGUACGCCGGCAACGGUGAAACUCAAAGGAAUUGACGG